This 440-nucleotide ribosomal RNA is filed under the name uncultured bacterium. Its description in RNAcentral is "partial 16S ribosomal RNA". It matches the Rfam family "Bacterial small subunit ribosomal RNA", at positions 338 to 795 of the family's 1533-position model. The record is from RNAcentral.
CCUACGGGUGGCAGCAGUAGGGAAUAUUGCUCAAUGGGGGAAACCCUGAAGCAGCAACGCCGCGUGGAGGAUGAAGGUUUUCGGAUUGUAAACUCCUUUUGUCAGAGAAGAUAAUGACGGUAUCUAACGAAUAAGCACCGGCUAACUCCGUGCCAGCAGCCGCGGUAAUACGGAGGGUGCAAGCGUUACUCGGAAUCACUGGGCGUAAAGAGCGCGUAGGCGGGAGAGCAAGUCAGAUGUGAAAUCCUAUGGCUUAACCAUAGAACUGCAUUUGAAACUGUUAUGCUAGAGUAUGGGAGAGGUAGGUGGAAUUCUUGGUGUAGGGGUAAAAUGCGUAGAGAUCAAGAGGAACACUCAUGGCGAAGGCGACCUGCUAGAACAUAACUGACGCUGAUGCGCGAAAGCGUGGGGAGCAAACAGGAUUAGAUACCCGAGUAGUC